AUACGGAGGAUCCGAGCGUUAUCCGGAUUUAUUGGGUUUAAAGGGAGCGUAGGUGGAUUGUUAAGUCAGUUGUGAAAGUUUGCGGCUCAACCGUAAAAUUGCAGUUGAAACUGGCAGUCUUGAGUACAGUAGAGGUGGGCGGAAUUCGUGGUGUAGCGGUGAAAUGCUUAGAUAUCACGAAGAACUCCGAUUGCGAAGGCAGCUCACUGGACUGCAACUGACACUGAGGCUCGAAAGUGUGGGUAUCAAACAGGAUUAGAUACCCUGGUAGUCCACACAGUAAACGAUGAAUACUCGCUGUUUGCGAUAUACAGCAAGCGGCCAAGCGAAAGCAUUAAGUAUUCCACCUGGGGAGUACGCCGGCAACGGUGAAACUCAAAGGAAUUGACGGGG
This 393-nucleotide ribosomal RNA is filed under the name uncultured bacterium. Its description in RNAcentral is "partial 16S ribosomal RNA". It matches the Rfam family "Bacterial small subunit ribosomal RNA", at positions 523 to 918 of the family's 1533-position model. The record is from RNAcentral.